Molecule: ribosomal RNA, 433 nt
Filed under: uncultured bacterium
Lineage: Bacteria
Description: partial 16S ribosomal RNA
Rfam family: Bacterial small subunit ribosomal RNA
Source: RNAcentral
AAUGAACGCUGGCGGCAUGCCUAACACAUGCAAGUCGAACGAAGGCUUCGGCCUUAGUGGCGCACGGGUGCGUAACGCGUGGGAAUCUGCCCCUUGGUUCGGAAUAACAGUUAGAAAUGACUGCUAAUACCGGAUGAUGACGUAAGUCAAAAGAUUUAUCGCCGAGGGAUGAGCCCGCGUAGGAUUAGCUAGUUGGUGUGGUAAGAGCGCACCAAGGCGACGAUCCUUAGCUGGUCUGAGAGGAUGAUCAGCCACACUGGGACUGAGACACGGCCCAGACUCCUACGGGAGGCAGCAGUGGGGAAUAUUGGACAAUGGGCGAAGGCCUGAUCCAGCAAUGCCGCGUGAGUGAUGAAGGCCUUAGGGUUGUAAAGCUCUUUUACCCGGGAUGAUAAUGACAGUACCGGGAGAAUAAGCUCCGGCUAACUCCGUG